Long non-coding RNA from Pseudopipra pipra, 1053 nucleotides. RefSeq lists it as uncharacterized. The record is from RefSeq and is a predicted model, not a curated record. Lineage: Eukaryota; Metazoa; Chordata; Aves; Passeriformes; Pipridae. The transcript is spliced from 2 exons.
GCGCUGGAAUUGCGCUGGAUUUGCGCUGGAUUUGCGCGGGAGGAUGCGGCGCUCCGGCUCCAAAGCGUGGUUUAGGACGGAAAACGCGGUGUCAGACGUGUGGGCGGCAUAGGUGUAAUGCCCUCAGGAGGAAAUAAACCCAAAGCAGUUCAGUUUGACCCUCUCAGAGAGCAGGAGGCAAAGUCUUCGUGGCCCAGGGCGCCGGGAACAGCCCUGACUUUAUUUCAUUCCUCCUCAAAGGAUUAUUUGGAAUUCGACCUUGCAGGGAAGGAGGUGUUUGUGGCGUGAGCUGAAAUCAAGGUUAACCAUUUCCACGAUAAUGCGAAGCAAUUUAUUGCCGAGUGAGCCUCGGGGAGGAAGAAAACCACCUCGGGGAGGAAGAAAAGCAGGACAACAAAGUGGUUGGUUUUCCCCUCCAUGAAGUGAGGCGAGAAAAUCCAGGUCUGCUCCUGCCCUCACCUCCCGGGGGGGCCCUGGAGAGGUGCUGGGGCAGCACGUGCUGUCCUGCUCCCUCAUUCCCACGUUUGUGCUGGGAAGCCUCUGUUCCCAGGGGAACAUGGAGCAGCUGGAGGAAACAACAAUGACAACAACAAUGACAUGGCCACGCCUGGUUGAUUUUGGGGACCUGGCAGUGCUUUCUGCACCCAAAGCCGGGUUUGGGCAGGAGGUGGGAGAGCUGGAGCUGAGACCUGGCCAUCCCACCAUCCCUGAGAUCAGGAAUCACCCACCUGGAGAAAGCAGAGACUCCGGAACCCUUCGCCAACACCAAAUUUAACCCAGGAAUUGCUAAACCUCCCCUUCCUUUCCCCCUGGUAGAAGCCACGGGAUUAUCACACCUUUGUUUCCUCCUGAGGGGACUAAAUCCGUGCUGCUGACACGUCUGACACUGUGUUUGCCAGCCCAAGGGACAUUUUAGAGCUGCAAACCCCCCUGGAAUCCCAGCAGGGAGCUCGCCCUGGGUCUGCCACACACGAACCAAACGUGGCCACCAGAAACUUCCCCUUCUGUGACUCAGGGAAAUGCCCGAAAUAAAACUCGCAGGGGAACAUUUUC